RNAcentral lists this unclassified non-coding RNA (377 nucleotides) under uncultured Actinomycetes bacterium. Its description in RNAcentral is "uncultured actinobacterium contains 16S-23S intergenic spacer region". The record is from RNAcentral. Lineage: Bacteria; Bacillati; Actinomycetota; Actinomycetes.
UCCGAGUUGACCCCGGCAGUCUCCCAUGAGUCCCCGGCAUUACCCGCUGGCAACAUGGAACGAGGGUUGCGCUCGUUGCGGGACUUAACCCAACAUCUCACGACACGAGCUGACGACAACCAUGCACCACCUGUACGCCGCCCUUACGGACCCCACAUCUCUGCGAGUUUUCGGCGUAUGUCAAGCCUUGGUAAGGUUCUUCGCGUUGCGUCGAAUUAAGCCACAUGCUCCGCCGCUUGUGCGGGCCCCCGUCAAUUCCUUUGAGUUUUAGCCUUGCGGCCGUACUCCCCAGGCGGGGCGCUUAAUGCGUUAGCUACGGCACGGAUCCCGUGGAAGGGAACCCACACCUAGCGCCCAACGUUUACGGCGUGGACUAC